GACGAACGCUGGCGGCGUGCUUAACACAUGCAGUCAAAAGAAAGUGGCGAACGGGUGAGUAAUACGUGGGUAACCUGCCCUCUUUUUGGGAUAAGCCUUGGAAACGGGGUCUAAUACCGAACAAAGGGGGAUGGGCUCGUGGUCUAGCAGCUUGUUGGUUGGGGGAUGGUCUACCAAGGCGGUGACGGGUAGCCGGCCUGAGAGGGGGACCGUCCGCGUUGGAGCUGGGAUACGGGCCAGACGCCUACGAGAGGCAGCAGUGGGGGAUGUUGCAGAAUGGGCGGAAGCCUGAUGCCGCGACGCCGUGUGGGGAGUGGAGGCUUGCGGUUUGUAAACCUCUUUCGCUAGCGAACGGGGAGGUGGAGAACAAGCGCCGGCUAACUACGUGCCAGCAGCCGCGGUAAUUC
RNAcentral lists this ribosomal RNA (407 nucleotides) under uncultured bacterium. Its description in RNAcentral is "partial 16S ribosomal RNA". It matches the Rfam family "Bacterial small subunit ribosomal RNA", at positions 28 to 526 of the family's 1533-position model. The record is from RNAcentral.